GGGGUCAGUAGGUUGGUCGUGCCACCGGUACGUACUGGUCUCACUGAUUCCUCCUUCCUGAAGAACCGUAAUGCCAUUAAUUUGGUGUUGCGGGGAAACAGGACUGUUACUUUGAAAAAAUUAGAGUGUUUAAAGCAAGCUAACGCUUGAAUACAUUAGCAUGGAAUAAUGAAAUAGGACGAUCGAUCCUAUUUUGUCGGUUUCUAGGAUUGACGUA
This 217-nucleotide ribosomal RNA is filed under the name Glomeromycotina sp. RNAcentral's name for it is "partial small subunit ribosomal RNA". The stretch from base 41 to 217 matches the Rfam family "Eukaryotic small subunit ribosomal RNA", at positions 686 to 864 of the family's 1831-position model. Lineage: Eukaryota; Fungi; Glomeromycota. The record is from RNAcentral.